AUGAUUGACACGAACCUGCAAAUCAUGUGCUAGAAUGUACGUGGGCUCAAUUCGCCAGCCCGGCGAGCCGUAGUUUGCGAGGCGGCGGAAACGCACAAACUGGCUCUCCUCUGCCUGCAAGAAACAAAGAUUGAUGAGUGGAAUAGAUCGCUAGUUAGGGAGGUGGGCGGAUGCACACUAGCUGAUUGCGUCGUCCUCCCGGCGGAUGGCACCCGUGGUGGUGCGGCCAUUUUCUGGGACAAAAGCCGCGUGGACGUGCAAUCCCACGCCAUCGGCCACUUCUCCAUCACGGCCAAGAUCACCCUGGCGGCAACGGCUAUCUCCUUUUGGAGGACGACGGUGUACGACCCUGUCGAUGAUGGGAGGAAGGACGAGUUCCUGGCUGAGCAAUCGCGAGCUGCACCUCCAGCAGAUGCCCCCUGGCUCAUCAAUGGAGAUUUCAACCUCAUCUACGAUGCUGCAAGAACAACAGCAACAUAA
RNAcentral lists this ribosomal RNA (480 nucleotides) under Triticum aestivum (bread wheat). RNAcentral's name for it is "partial small subunit ribosomal RNA". The record is from RNAcentral. Lineage: Eukaryota; Viridiplantae; Streptophyta; Magnoliopsida; Poales; Poaceae.